GUCUGAUUAAGGCAAACCCGGCGAAAGACGGGGACGCAAAGCCGAUGGUCUAACGGACUCCGGUCCCAUGACAGCAUGGCUGCCAGA
Molecule: non-coding RNA, 87 nt
Filed under: Thioalkalivibrio denitrificans
Lineage: Bacteria; Pseudomonadati; Pseudomonadota; Gammaproteobacteria; Chromatiales; Ectothiorhodospiraceae
Description: c-di-GMP sequence
Rfam family: c-di-GMP-I riboswitch aptamer
About the family: GEMM was predicted in a large-scale screen for bacterial structured RNA regulatory elements. Genes associated with GEMM are involved in a diverse array of functions, including chemotaxis regulation, signal transduction, secretion and chitin.
Source: Rfam by way of RNAcentral